RNAcentral lists this non-coding RNA (23 nucleotides) under Cricetulus griseus (Chinese hamster). Lineage: Eukaryota; Metazoa; Chordata; Mammalia; Rodentia; Cricetidae. The record is from RNAcentral.
UGAACCAGUAGAGGGCGCUACAC